GUGGUUAAGAAUGUCCGAGUGGUUAAGGAGUUUGACUCGAAAUCAAAUGGGCUCUGUCCGCGUAGGUUCGAAUCCUGCUGACUGCG
Molecule: transfer RNA, 86 nt
Organism: Caenorhabditis elegans
Lineage: Eukaryota; Metazoa; Nematoda; Chromadorea; Rhabditida; Rhabditidae
Source: Ensembl